Molecule: non-coding RNA, 1901 nt
Organism: Jatropha curcas
Lineage: Eukaryota; Viridiplantae; Streptophyta; Magnoliopsida; Malpighiales; Euphorbiaceae
Source: RefSeq, a predicted model, not a curated record
UUUCACUGUUUCAGUCAGACUGCUGUAAAAACGCAAAACAAGGGAAAUAGGGAAAGAUCGGCGCUUGCUCCUGCCUCGGAGAUCAUCGCUCUCUUUUCAAGACGGGGAAGAAGAGAAAGAAAUUCUCAUCUCUUGCCUUAACUUAGAGAAGCGAACAAGUGGCAGGGGGAUGGAAAUUAUUCUAGUUGAUGGCAAGGACAAAAGAAAAAUUGAGGGGUGAAGUAUUCUUGUUGUCUCUAGGGUCACUUCUCUUCAUUAGGUUGACCCUGGAGACAAAUUGAGGGGUGCAGCUCUUCUUGUAAGAUCCCAAUGAAGAGAUGGGGUAUGACAUGUGUCAAAUUAUAGGUGGAUGCAAUAUUGCAGUUUGUUGGCUACUACGUGUCAAGUAACUAGUGAUUGCUUAAGGCUUGAGGAAACAGUUCAACUAGAAAGAUAAGGUUAUGCAUUUUUUUUAUCAGAAUUCUAUCCCCGGUACUGAAAAGAUUCAAUCUUGACCUGUGGCCAUGUUGCCUAAUUAAGCAUGGAAUUGUAAUAUUAUUUAUCUCCAAGUAAUAUAAUUACCGCAAGCAAGAUUACUGCUGUGAAUUAGCACAUCUCUGGAGUUCUGUAGGUGGAUUCCAUCUGUAUUAGGACUGUUGCCUGGUGAUGAGAUGCUUAUAUCGUGUACCACGACUCCCAUGCAAUUGUCGAACUUGAGGUGGCACUGAGGACUGUUUUGAAUUGUAAUGCCUGUGACUGUGGCAUUGAAACUUCCAUAAAAUCUUAGUGCCUGUGAAAAGAAAAAUAUUCCCAUCAUGUUAUGUGACUGCAUAGUCAUGAGCUAUAAUAGAAACUUAGUUGUUGAGUGGUCCUUACUGUAGGCUUGAUGCUUGGCAUUUUCUUACUGAGUUCACUUUUUAUCUGCCACUCAAUUUGGAAGAGAAUUAUGAUCAGAUGCAGACAAUACAAAAAUGUAAUUACAGUUGAAGUACAAGCUGAAGGUAAUUACUGGCAUUGGUGGGUGUUCUUCUAUUGUAUUGUUUAGUGGAAUAAUGAGCUUUGUUUCAUCAUCUACAGGAUCGUUAAGUGGAUAAUCUUGCCACCACACUGAGCCACUCCCAUCAAUAGUGCCUGUUCCCUGAAUUGUAAUUCCCUUAAGCUUUGUGAAUUCAAUCCACCAUAAAAGACCUUUACCCCAAAUAUAGGAAUUUGUUGGGGCAAUAAUUGUUCCAUCCAGCUGAGAAAAAUUUCAAUAGAAUAUUAUAUGGACCAGAGAACGAAACGGGUCCCACAAGGAAUACAUAUUCUGCUGGAAUGAGCAUUGUUGAUGCCUCCACCUUACAAGCAGCUGCCCAUGCAGCCUGGAACGCCUGUGAUGCACCAAAACACACCAUUUAUUACUAGCACCAAAAUCAAGCACAUUAAAGGUUGCAGAGCCUUUGAUUGGUGAUGUUGAUGGUGGUGUAUAGUCUUUUGGUGGCUUAGGAGCAGGAGGCAAUGGAGCUUUAUGGGAUGGAGGUUUUGGUUUUUGUUUUGACCCUCCAUUAUGGUUAUGGUUGCUGCUCCUGCUACCAUGGUUUUUUCCUUUCUUUUUGUACAGAGAAGCUGAAGUAGGUCUGUGUCUCCAAUGUCUGCCUCUUCUAGCAAUGCAAGUAUCAAAACUUGAAGACCAAACUAGGAAAGCAAUGAAGAGCAUAAAUGUGAAGCUUCUGAAACUAAAGCCACCCAUUUUCAGUGUAAAAUGAAUGGCUGAAAAGAAACAGGGAGAGACAGAAAGAGAAAGAAAGAAAGAAAGAGAGAGAAUGUGUUUGUACUUCAAAAAAUAAGUGGAAGGUUACGUUUAUAUAAGGAGGGAAGUCCAAAACUUAUGAGACUACUGCAUUUCUAAAUGAAAAUUGGUUAUCCUGAAUCUUUUUUGAUUA